This 301-nucleotide ribosomal RNA is filed under the name uncultured bacterium. Its description in RNAcentral is "partial 16S ribosomal RNA". It matches the Rfam family "Bacterial small subunit ribosomal RNA", at positions 509 to 807 of the family's 1533-position model. The record is from RNAcentral.
CAGUCGCCGCGGUAAUACGAAGGGUGCAAGCGUUAAUCGGAAUUACUGGGCGUAAAGCAUGCGUAGGCGGUGAGUUAAGUCUGCUGUGAAAUCCCCGGGCUCAACCUGGGAAUGGCAGUGGAUACUGGCUCGCUAGAGUGUGUCAGAGGAUGGUGGAAUUCCCGGUGUAGCGGUGAAAUGCGUAGAGAUCGGGAGGAACAUCAGUGGCGAAGGCGGCCAUCUGGGACAACACUGACGCUGAGGCACGAAAGCGUGGGGAGCAAACAGGAUUAGAUACCCCGGUAGUCCCUGUCUCUUAUAC